GCAUCACCUUCAUCUUUGUAGCUUCAGAACUGGACACAGGGCCUGGCACGUUUCUGGUGUUCCGUCCCUGCUUGUUGAGUUGAAUAUCCCCUCAUGAACCAGGCAGGUUUGAUGGUAGAGUGCCGUGAGAGCCUUGGGCUGGGCUAACUGGCCUCUGGGUGGAUGUGGGUUCUUUAGUCUUCAAUCUGUAGACACAUCCCUGGAUGGAGGGCACUGGGCAGAGACUCAGCAAACCAUGGUUCUGCCGUGCGGAGACACCGGAGCCCUGAUGCAGUGGCCUGGCCCAGGCUGUCCUGGUGGAGACACUGGAGUCCUGAUGCGGUGGCCUGGCCCAGGCUGUCCUGGUGGAGACACUGGAGCCCUGAUGCAGUGGCCUGGCCCAGGCUGUCUUGGUGGAGAAAGUGC
Molecule: long non-coding RNA, 405 nt
Filed under: Homo sapiens (human)
Lineage: Eukaryota; Metazoa; Chordata; Mammalia; Primates; Hominidae
Description: HSALNT0177449
Source: RNAcentral